CAUGGCCUUGCGCCGGCGAUGGUUCAUUCAAAUUUCUGCCCUAUCAACUUUCGAUGGUAGGAUAGUGGCCUACCAUGGUAUCAACGGGUAACGGGGAAUUAGGGUUCUAUUCCGGAGAGGGAGCCUGAGAAACGGCUACCACAUCCAAGGAAGGCAGCAGGCGCGCAAAUUACCCAAUCCCGACACGGGGAGGUAGUGACAAUAAAUACUGAUACAGGGCUCUUUUGGGUCUUGUAAUUGGAAUGAGUACAAUUUAAAUCCCUUAACGAGGAACAAUUGGAGGGCAAGUCUGGUGCCAGCAGCCGCGGUAAUUCCAGCUCCAAUAGCGUAUAUUAAAGUUGUUGCAGUUAAAAAGCUCGUAGUUGAACCUUGGGCCUGGCUGGCCGGUCCGCCUCACCGCGUGUACUGGUCCGGCCGGGCCUUUCCUUCUGGGGAGCCGCAUGCCCUUCACUGGGCGUGUCGGGGAACCAGGACUUUUACUUUGAAAAAAUUAGAGUGUUCAAAGCAGGCCUUUGCUCGAAUACAUUAGCAUGGAAUAAUAGAAUAGGACGUGCGGUUCUAUUUUGUUGGUUUCUAGGACCGCCGUAAUGAUUAAUAGGGAUAGUCGGGGGCAUCAGUAUUCAAUUGUCAGAGGUGAAAUUCUUGGAUUUAUUGAAGACUAACUACUGCGAAAGCAUUUGCCAAGGAUGUUUUCAUUAAUCAGUGAACGAAAGUUAGGGGAUCGAAGACGAUCAGAUACCGUCGUAGUCUUAACCAUAAACUAUGCCGACUAGGGAUCGGGCGAUGUUAUCAUUUUGACUCGCUCGGCACCUUACGAGAAAUCAAAGUCUUUGG
RNAcentral lists this ribosomal RNA (834 nucleotides) under Saccothecium rubi. Its description in RNAcentral is "SSU rRNA". It matches the Rfam family "Eukaryotic small subunit ribosomal RNA", at positions 272 to 1110 of the family's 1831-position model. Lineage: Eukaryota; Fungi; Ascomycota; Dothideomycetes; Dothideales; Saccotheciaceae. The record is from RNAcentral.